Long non-coding RNA from Cucumis melo (muskmelon), 781 nucleotides. RefSeq lists it as uncharacterized. The transcript has 2 exons. The record is from RefSeq and is a predicted model, not a curated record. NCBI's taxonomy places the organism in Eukaryota, Viridiplantae, Streptophyta, Magnoliopsida, Cucurbitales, Cucurbitaceae.
UUGCCAUAGCCUUGAGAUAGUUCGAGAACACUUAUGGUUUUCCUUCUUUUUGAGGCAUGAGUCUCACAUCUAAUUAUGAUUAUUUGCUGUAAUGUCUAACUACUUCUAAUUUUAUUUGAAUGACACUAGAUGGACGGUGACAUUAGUACAUGACCAUACAACCAUUCCAUUCUACAUCUCUAGGGGAGCCAUCGAUCAUAGGAAGUAUGAGAGGAUGUGCAUGUUCAUGCUAUGCAUUAUAGACGUCGAGAGUUGUGUUAUGAUCUACUAGGAGUAGAGACGAAUGACAAUGUUUUUAGGGGAGGUCAUCUCAACUUACUGUGAUUAGCACAACAGAUUGACAAUUUUGACCAUCUACUUGAAGAUGUUACUGAAAACCAAUAACAGCAGUAUACUCAGCUUAUAUCCUCACACCUACUGGCAGAUUGGUUUUUCCUGAUAAAUCCAACAAUUGAGUGCACUUGAUGUAGCUCUCUCUGAUGGAAGAUCGUAACAAUGUUAGAACAUAUAGUUAGGGAGCUAGCUAUCUUGCAUGGUUGUAUACACAAUUAUGUAAGGGAGAAUGACAUUAUAGUUCCUUUUCUAUUGCUACAAAUUUGAGGAUGGGACCGAUUUUUUCUCUUAGCACCACGAGGACUACAUCGGUAUGAGAAUCACCUUGUACUGAACGCUAGCAAUACGAUAGAUAUUUUUAAUAUGUUAGCAAUAUUUAACAUGUUUAUUAACAUCACCUUGUACUGAACUUAUGAUUAUUACAUAUGGAAUGAUGACUUCUCUGUCA